Molecule: long non-coding RNA, 3753 nt
Organism: Oncorhynchus tshawytscha (Chinook salmon)
Lineage: Eukaryota; Metazoa; Chordata; Actinopteri; Salmoniformes; Salmonidae
Source: Ensembl
UUGGAAAUAAUGCAGACAAUUACAUUGGAAGCAACAUUGUUUCCGGAAUAUUAAGCUGAUCCACCCUCAAAAGAAAAAAGAAAAAAAAGAAGCAGUGCGGCUUGGCAGGGUCGUGUUUCGGAGGACACAUGGCUCUCGACCUUCCCCUCUCCCGAGUCCGUAUGGGAGUUGCAGCAAUGGGGCAAGACUGUAACAAUUGGAGAGAAAAAGUUGAAUAAAUGGUGAAGUAUUCGCUGGGAAAAGUGGAGUCUGUUAGAGUGACCAGGAGUGGUCUUCUUUUGAUUAAUUGUAUUCAUGAAGAACAGAGGAAAAUUGCAGUGAGCCUCAAAAGAAUCCGAACAACAGAAGUUUUGUGUUUUGAACUUCGGAGUAGAGCACCCGUCAAAGGAGUCAUCUCAGGGGUGACUAUGGAUGUUCAGGUUGAAUACCUGAAGAAAAUUCCUGAGUGAAUGGAGAAAAAGAAGAAAGUCUGCUUUUUAUAAAAAGCAUAUACCUACGCAUGUGAAGAGCUUUCAUCCCCAAACGAUUGCAGUGUAAGAAUUGUAAAGGAUUUGGCCAUGUUACAAGUGUGUACAGACGGAAAGAGUAUAUUGAUGAACGGUUUGUAGAAGGGUGACGGUGUUGCAGUUGUGGUGGGGAUCAUUAUCCAGAGUUCUUGGAGUGCCCUGUAAGGGUUAAGGAGAUUGAGGUAGCAAAAGUUAGAGCAGUCAAUUGAGUCUCCUAUGAGGAGGCAAUUAAAAUAAUUGAGAUAACAAGUAAUGCUAGUGAAGAUAUGGUACCACAGCCUGGAGUAAAUGUUUGCUGCCAGUAAAAAGAUAGUGUGUUAAAUAUGUGGCGUUCAUUGCCACGUUAUGAAAGGUCUCAAAGAAGCCACAUUAUUUUGUAUUGAGGUCCAUGUUUACCAAUUGAACACUGCAUUCAAGACACUUAAAGAUAAGCAAAAACAGAUUACGAUUGAAUUGUUUAGUUUAGUAGAAGAAUGUGGUGAACAGUCCUCCGGCAACAAUGAGGGAAGGAAUUAUCACAGUUAAUGGUCUAAGUUUUCUACUGUGGGCUAGUUCUCUUUCUCAACCCUCCUUCAUCUUUUCCCCCUCUUUCUCUCGCCCCCUCUUCCUCUCAUCCUCCCCUCUCCCCAUGCAGGUGCAAAGGUGAGCCCUUCACCAUUAGGAAAUAUGUCUGCAUUUCUGCCUUCAAUGUUCAGUAUGUUGCUCAUUCCUGAACAUGACAUGGCUAGAUCAGCAAGGAGCUGUCGGAUAAGUACGAGUGGAUGGUGAACCCGGAGAAGGCCCUGGAGGACUCCAAGACCCCACUGUUCAAAGAGGAACCCAUGAGUGAUGUUGCCUUCCCCGUCCGUGAGGAGCCUAAGGUGGACCUGGGCUCCGGGGAGCAGACACUCCCCAUGGGGAUGCUGGGGGCCCCUCAACGAGAGUCAGUCUGGUAAUACCCCAUAAUACUGUAUGAAUUUGGACUGUGAAGCUAGCAUUGUCAUUUUUGGGGCUCCGUACUCCAGCAUUUUGGAAUUUUGGAUUUUAUUUGAAUUAUUAUGAGGCGACAAUACAGAAUGUGGUCUGAAGUGAAGUAUUUGAUCUCAUACGCAAUGACGAGACUUUGUCUGACUACUUACAUUCAUUUUGAUGCUACCACGAUUAUGACAAAUCAUUAAUGAAUCAUGAGUAAUGACGAGUGAGAUAGGUACAGAGGCAUAAUGAUGAUACCCUCCCAAAAAUGCUAAAGUGACAUUCUGAACAAUUGUGUCAUAUAGAUCAUUUGAUGUCAAAUCCAAAAUCCUGGAGAAUAGAGAGACAAAAUAAACAAAUGUCCAAAUAUACUGAACAAAAAUAUAAAUGCAACAAUUUCAACGAUUUUACUGAGUUACAGGUCAUACAAGGAAAUCAGUCAAUUUAAAUUCAUUAGGCCAUAAUCUAUGGAUUUCACAUGACUGGGCAGGAGCGCAGCCAUGGACAGGCCUGGGAGGACCCAAUGAGUUGGAAGUAUUGGGCUGCGGUUUGGGUUUGCGGUUGUGUGGCCGGUUGGACAUACUGCCAAAUUUUCUAAAAUGACAUUGGAGGCAGCUUAUGGUAGAGAAAUGAACAUUCAAUUCUCUGGUAACAGCUCUGUUGGACAUUCCUGUAGUCAGCAUGUCAAUCGCACACUCCAUCAGAACUUUGAGACAUGUGUGGCAUUGUGUUGUGUGACAAAACUGCCCAUUUUAGAGUGGCCUUUUAUUGUUCCCAGCACAUGGUGCACUUGUGUAAAUAUCAUGCUGUUUAAGCAGCUUCAUGAUAUGCCACACCUGUCAGUUGGAGUAUUUUGGCAAAGGAGAAAUGUUCACUAGGGAUGUAAACACAUUUGUGCACAUUUUAGAGAAAUAAACACUUUGUGCUGUGGCAAAUGGCAGGGAGAGAUGAUGAGAGUGGUGUCUUGCAGCCUGCUGGCUCCACCCCCGAGCCUUUUAUGAACUUCCUGUCCCAAUGAGGCAAAGCUGUUGGAUCAUUAAGCCAUUGAGUGCUUGGGGAUAAAAGAGGAAGCGGGCUGCAUUAAGAGGACUGAGAGGGAAAUGUGUGUUAUGGAGAAUGUGAGAAGCGUGAGAAUUCGCUGUAUGAUUACCCGUUGUGAACUGGUUGCUGGAUCCCCACCUUUCACACUGUGUGCAAAUAUCCCAAAUAAAUUAUCCAUUUGCAUUCUAGUCGUGCUCCCUGUGUGUGUUUGGUUAUUGAACUUGGUGACGUGGAAACUCCACACCCUAGAGCCUGCUACAGUGUGUAUGGAAAAUUCUGUGAUCUUUUAUUUCAGCUUAUGAAACAUGGGACCAACACUUUACAGGUUGUGUUUAUAUUUCUGUUCAGUAUACACUACCGUUCAAAAGUUUGGGGUCACUUAGAAAUGUCCUUGUUUUUGAAAGAAAAGCAAAUUUUCUGUCCAUAAAAAAACAUAAAAUUGCUCAGAUACAGUGUAGACAUUGUUAAUGUUGUAAAUGACUAUUGUAGCUGGAAAUGGCAGAUUUCUUUUAUGGAAUAUUUACAUAGGCUCCAAUGGCACAUUGUGUUAGCUAAUCCAAGUUUAUAAUUUUAAAAGGCUAAUUGAUCAUUAGAAAACCCUUUUGCAAUUAUGUUAGCACAGCUGAAAACCUUUGUACUGUAAUUGAACUCACAAAUGCUGAUGCUCCAGAUACUCAACUAGUCUAAAGAAGGCCAGUUUUAUUGAACCUUUUAUAACAUCCAUUUGACGGUCAAAUACAUUUGAACUGAACUGAAUGUACAUUUAUAUACAAAUUGAUAAGGAAAUGUUGAUUACAUACAGUGCCUUUACUUUUUCCACAUUUUGUUGUGAUAUAGCCUGAAUUUUAAAAUAUUAUUUUGUCACUGGCCUACACACAAUACCCCAUAAUGUCACAGUGGAAUUAUGUUUUUAAAAUUGUAUUUUAUAAAUUAAUUAAAAAAGAAAAUCUGAAAAUCAACCAGAAAUGCCUUGCAAAGAAGGGUAGACAUUUUCGCGGAACAGAUCUGAAAUGAUUGGAUGGGACAUGUUCUCACUCGAUGAACUGAUGCUGAUGACAUAAGACAUUGCAAUUUCAUUCCUUAUAGUGUUUUAUGAUUAUGUAUAUAGAAAAUAUGAACUCAGAUAAAUGCUUUCUUUGAGACGGUGUUAAUGUCAAAAUGAAUAAAUGCCCUCUUUUGGAUGCUGAAGGUAUUAAUGUGUGGACUGACACUAUUUACCAACUGAAUUUAAUAAUCAUGACCCAGGUCUUGUCCC